GCGGACGUUUGCCAUACGCCCUUGAUCGGCAGGUAUGGAUCACCGCGUGGCGACCGGCGUGGACAACGGAGUCCUCCGGAGC
This is a non-coding RNA of Pseudomonas sp. Bc-h, 82 nucleotides long. Lineage: Bacteria; Pseudomonadati; Pseudomonadota; Gammaproteobacteria; Pseudomonadales; Pseudomonadaceae. The record is from Rfam.